This 76-nucleotide transfer RNA is filed under the name Pseudomonas aeruginosa. RNAcentral's name for it is "tRNA-Ile". It matches the Rfam family "tRNA". Rfam says of the family: Transfer RNA (tRNA) molecules are approximately 80 nucleotides in length. Their secondary structure includes four short double-helical elements and three loops (D, anti-codon, and T loops). Lineage: Bacteria; Pseudomonadati; Pseudomonadota; Gammaproteobacteria; Pseudomonadales; Pseudomonadaceae. RNAcentral also lists the same sequence under 10 other names. The record is from RNAcentral.
GGGCCGGUAGCAUAACGGUUAAUGCAGCGGCCUCAUAAGCCGUUGAGUGCGGGUUCGAAUCCCGCCCGGCCCACCA